GACGAACGCUGGCGGCGUGCUUAACACAUGCAAGUCGAACGGAAAGGCCCUGCUUUUGUGGGGUGCUCGAGUGGCGAACGGGUGAGUAACACGUGAGUAACCUGCCCUUGACUUUGGGAUAACUUCAGGAAACUGGGGCUCAUACCGGAUAGGAGCUCCUGCUGCAUGGUGGGGGUUGGAAAGUUUCGGCGGUUGGGGAUGGACUCGCGGCUUAUCAGCUUGUUGGGGGGGUAGUGGCUUACCACGGCUUUGACGGGUAGCCGGCCUGGGAGGGUGACCGGCCAAAUUGGCAAUGGGAUGCGGCCGUGAGGCCUCCGGGACGAAGCAGUGGAGAAUAUUGCACAAUGGGCGGAAGCGUGAUGCAGCAACGCCGCGUGCGGGAUGCCGGCCUUAGGGUUGUAAAACGCUUUCGCCUGUGACGAAGCGUGAGUGACGGUAAUGGGGAAAGAAGCACCGGCAACCUACGU
Molecule: ribosomal RNA, 467 nt
Filed under: uncultured bacterium
Lineage: Bacteria
Description: partial 16S ribosomal RNA
Rfam family: Bacterial small subunit ribosomal RNA
Source: RNAcentral